AUCCAGCUGACGAGUCCUAAAUAGGACGAAACGCGCGUCCUGAAU
This 45-nucleotide non-coding RNA is filed under the name Schistosoma mattheei. The record is from RNAcentral. Lineage: Eukaryota; Metazoa; Platyhelminthes; Trematoda; Strigeidida; Schistosomatidae.